Molecule: ribosomal RNA, 253 nt
Filed under: uncultured bacterium
Lineage: Bacteria
Description: partial 16S ribosomal RNA
Rfam family: Archaeal small subunit ribosomal RNA
Source: RNAcentral
UACCAGCACCCCGAGUGGUCGGGACGAUUAUUGGGCCUAAAGCAUCCGUAGCCGGUCAUGCAAGUCCUCCGUUAAAUCCACCUGCUUAACAGAUGGGCUGCGGAGGAUACUACAAGGCUAGGAGGCGGAAGAGGCAAGCGGUACUCAGUGGGUAGGGGUAAAAUCCUCUGAUCCAUUGAAGACCACCAGUGGCGAAGGUGGCUUGCCAAUACGCGCUCGACGGUGAGGGAUGAAAGCUGGGGGAGCAAACCGG